AGUGAACGCUGGCGGUAGGCCUAACACAUGCAAGUCGAACGGCAGCACAGUAAAAGCUUGCUCUUACGGGUGGCGAGUGGCGGACGGGUGAGGAAUACAUCGGAAUCUACUUUUUCGUGGGGGAUAACGUAGGGAAACUUACGCUAAUACCGCAUACGACCUACGGGUGAAAGCAGGGGAUCUUCGGACCUUGCGCGAUUGAAUGAGCCGAUGUCGGAUUAGCUAGUUGGCGGGGUAAAGGCCCACCAAGGCGACGAUCCGUAGCUGGUCUGAGAGGAUGAUCCGCCACACUGGAACUGAGACACGGUCCAGACUCCUACGGGAGGCAGCAGUGGGGAAUAUUGGACAAUGGGCGCAAGCCUGAUCCAGCCAUACCGCGUGGGUGAAGAAGGCCUUCGGGUUGUAAAGCCCUUUUGUUGGGAAAGAAAAGCAGCAGGUUAAUACCCCGCUGUUCUGACGGUACCCAAAGAAUAAGCACCGGCUAACUUCGUG
RNAcentral lists this ribosomal RNA (492 nucleotides) under uncultured bacterium. Its description in RNAcentral is "partial 16S ribosomal RNA". It matches the Rfam family "Bacterial small subunit ribosomal RNA", at positions 29 to 507 of the family's 1533-position model. The record is from RNAcentral.